CCCAGUGUGAUUCGUCACACUAUCAUUAACUGAAUCCAUAGGUUAAUGAGGCGAACCGGGGGAACUGAAACAUCUAAGUACCCCGAGGAAAAGAAAUCAACCGAGAUUCCCCCAGUAGCGGCGAGCGAACGGGGAGGAGCCCAGAGCCUGAAUCAGCAUGUGUGUUAGUGGAAGCGUCUGGAAAGGCGCGCGAUACAGGGUGACAGCCCCGUACACAAAAGCGCAUGUGCUGUGAGCUCGAUGAGUAGGGCGGGACACGUGGUAUCCUGUCUGAAUAUGGGGGGACCAUCCUCCAAGGCUAAAUACUCCUGACUGACCGAUAGUGAACCAGUACCGUGAGGGAAAGGCGAAAAGAACCCCGGCGAGGGGAGUGAAAAAGAACCUGAAACCGUGUACGUACAAGCAGUGGGAGCCCCACCACCAAAGCAUUCUCUGGUGUUGAAGGCCCUGCAAAGCAGCAUCGCGGUGGCGGAGCGUCGUUUGCGACGCCCAACACACAAAACAAGCGGUGAGUGCUUUGGGGUGGGGUGACUGCGUACCUUUUGUAUAAUGGGUCAGCGACUUAUAUUCUGUAGCAAGGUUAACCGAAU
Molecule: ribosomal RNA, 590 nt
Filed under: Salmonella enterica subsp. enterica serovar Bareilly
Lineage: Bacteria; Pseudomonadati; Pseudomonadota; Gammaproteobacteria; Enterobacterales; Enterobacteriaceae
Description: partial 23S ribosomal RNA
Rfam family: Bacterial large subunit ribosomal RNA
Source: RNAcentral